This 117-nucleotide non-coding RNA is filed under the name Pan troglodytes (chimpanzee). The record is from Rfam by way of RNAcentral. Lineage: Eukaryota; Metazoa; Chordata; Mammalia; Primates; Hominidae.
GCCGGGUGUGAUGGCUCACGCCUGUAAUCCCAGCACUUUGGGAGGCCGAGACGGGUGGAUCACCUGAGGUCGGGAGUUCAAGACCAGCCUGGCCAACAUGGUGAAACCCUGUCUCUA